RNAcentral lists this small nuclear RNA (299 nucleotides) under Urocitellus parryii (Arctic ground squirrel). RNAcentral describes it as "7SK RNA (ENSUPAG00010023868.1)". It matches the Rfam family "7SK RNA". Rfam says of the family: 7SK was discovered as an abundant small nuclear RNA in the mid-70s but a possible function has only recently been suggested. Lineage: Eukaryota; Metazoa; Chordata; Mammalia; Rodentia; Sciuridae. The record is from Rfam by way of RNAcentral.
GGAUGUGAGGGCAAUCUGGCUGGACAUCUGUCACCCUUUUGAUCGCCAGAAUUGAUUCAGCUGAUCUGGUUGGCUAGGCAGGAGUCCUCAUCCUCCCUUACUGCUCCAAGAGCUUCUCUCUCAAAGAUGCGCAGUCUGUUGAAGAGGACGAACUUCCCCAAUAGAGGAGGACUGUUCUUCGGUCAAGGGUGUAGAGUAGCUAUGCUCCCUUUCUAGAACCCCCCAAACAAGCUCUCAAUAAAUAGAUUAAGCAAAGAGAGAUACAUUUUGAGAAAUCUAUAACUUAGGGGAUUUUCUAA